GAUUAACGUUGGCGGCGUGCAUAACACAUGCAAGUCGAACGAUGAAACUUUAAUGAACCCUUCGGGGAGAAUUAAAGCGGAUUAGUGGCGAACGGGUGAGUAACGCGUGAGUAACCUGCCUUACACAAGGGGAUAGCCUUUGGAAACGAAGAAUAAUACCCUAUAAAACCAUAAAGGCACAUGCAAUUAUGGUCAAAGUAUUAGCGGUGUAAGAUGGACUUGCGUCUGAUUAGCUAGUUGGUGAGAUAAAAGCCCACCAAGGCAACGAUCAGCAGCCGGCUUGAGAGAGUGUACGGCCACAUUGGGACUGAGACACGGCCCAGACUCCUACGGGAGGCAGCAGUGGGGAAUUUUGCACAAUGGGGGAAACCCUGAUGCAGCGACGCCGCGUGAUUUAGAAGGCCUUCGGGUUGUAAAAAUCUUUUGUAUAGGAAGAAAAUGACAGUACUAUACGAAUAAGGUCCGGCUAAUUACGUGCCAGCAGCCGCGGUAAUACGUAAGGACCGAGCGUUGUCCGGAAUCAUUGGGCGUAAAGGGUACGUAGGCGGCUAGAAAAGUUAGAAGUCAAAGGCUAUAGCUCAACUAUAGUAAGCUUCUAAAACUAUUUAGCUUGAGAGAUGGAAGGGAAAGUGGAAUUCCUAGUGUAGCGGUGGAAUGCGCAGAUAUUAGGAGGAAUACCGGUGGCGAAGGCGACUUUCUGGCCAUUUUCUGACGCUGAGGUACGAAAGCGUGGGUAGCAAACAGGAUUAGAUACCCUGGUAGUCCACGCCGUAAACGAUGAGUGUUAGGUGUCUGGAGUCAAAUCUGGGUGCCGCAGCAAACGCAUUAAACACUCCGCCUGGGGAGUACGCACGCAAGUGUGAAACUCAAAGGAAUUGACGGGGACCCGCACAAGCAGCGGAGCAUGUGGUUUAAUUCGAGGCUACGCGAAGAACCUUACCAGGACUUGACAUACCAAGGAAAGUUUUUAGAGAUAAAAACCCUAGAUUUAUCUACCUUGGAUACAGGUGGUGCAUGGUUGUCGUCAGCUCGUGUCGUGAGAUGUUGGGUUAAGUCCCGCAACGAGCGCAACCCUUACAUUUAGUUACUAACAGGUAGUGCUGAGGACUCUAGAUGGACUGCCGAUGACAAAUCGGAGGAAGGUGGGGAUGACGUCAAAUCAUCAUGCCCUUUAUGUCCUGGGCUACACACGUGCUACAAUGGUCGGUACAAAGAGAAGCUAAAUAGCGAUAUCAAGCAAACCUCAAAAAACCGAUCCCAGUUCGGAUUGAUCUCUGCAACUCGAGAUCAUGAAGCCGGAGUUGCUAGUAAUCGCAGAUCAGAAUGCUGCGGUGAAUGCGUUCCCGGGUCU
Molecule: ribosomal RNA, 1351 nt
Filed under: uncultured bacterium
Lineage: Bacteria
Description: bacterial SSU rRNA
Rfam family: Bacterial small subunit ribosomal RNA
Source: RNAcentral